Molecule: ribosomal RNA, 497 nt
Filed under: uncultured bacterium
Lineage: Bacteria
Description: partial 16S ribosomal RNA
Rfam family: Bacterial small subunit ribosomal RNA
Source: RNAcentral
GAUGAACGCUGGCGGCGUGCCUAAUACAUGCCAGUCGAGCGAACGGACGAGAAGCUUGCUUCUCUGAUGUUAGCGGCGGACGGGUGAGUAACACGUGGAUAACCUACCUAUAAGACUGGGAUAACUUCGGGAAACCGGAGCUAAUACCGGAUGAUAUUUUGAACCGCAUGGUUCAAAAGUGAAAGACGGUCUUGCUGUCACUUAUAGAUGGAUCCGCGCUGCAUUAGCUAGUUGGUAAGGUAACGGCUUACCAAGGCAACGAUGCAUAGCCGACCUGAGAGGGUGGUCGGCCACACUGGAAGUGAGACACGGUCCAGACUCCUACGGGAGGCAGCAGUAGGGAAUCUUCCGCAAUGGGCGAAAGCCUGACGGAGCAACGCCGCGUGAGUGAUGAAGGUCUUCGGAUCGUAAAACUCUGUUAUUAGGGAAGAACAUAUGUGUAAGUAACUGUGCACAUCUUGACGGUACCUAAUCAAAAAGCCACGGCUAACUACGUA